AAUUUUAACCAAAGGCUUCGGACGGCCUUAGUUGUGAAUGAGAUAAUCCAUUGUGUGCUGCUGAGAUUCCAGAGAUGUUGUGGGCCGUUGUACGCUUGAUCGAAGCAGCUCAGCAAUGGAUGAUCUCUGCUCCAACACGAAGGAGUAGAGCGCUAAUUAAAGCACUUAGUUCGCAGUGUCUAAUCUUGACAUGUUUACGAUAAGCUUUAAGGGUAACUUGAGCUCUAUAUUCAUUUUUUGUUCCGACUUUGUGGCUUCAUCAAACUUAGGCGAGGUUUGUUUUCGUCAAUUGAAUAUCACUUGUGUGGAAUUCAAGUUUGUUCGUCCACAGACGCCACCUUGCCUCUAUACUAGGCCAAAUCAUUCGGCUCGACUUUGCCUGUACUCGGGGCCAAGGUCUCUUGAUACGGUGUUGCAUCUCAUCGUCUCAUUUUGGUUCUCAAUUAACA
Long non-coding RNA from Cucurbita moschata (crookneck pumpkin), 449 nucleotides. RefSeq lists it as uncharacterized. The record is from RefSeq and is a predicted model, not a curated record. The transcript has 2 exons. Lineage: Eukaryota; Viridiplantae; Streptophyta; Magnoliopsida; Cucurbitales; Cucurbitaceae.